AAAAAAUCAUUGCCAAGACCAAUAUCAGGAAGCUCUUUGUUUUCUUCUAGAAGUUUUACAGUAUCCGAUCUUAAAAAUCUUUGAUCCAUUUUGAGUGAAUUUUUGUGAGUAUAAAAGGAAUCGUUUCUUUCUUCUGCAUUUGUUUAUCCAGUUUUCCAAAUACCAUUUGUUGAAGAGACUAUCCUUUCCCCAUUGGGUAUUUUUGGUUCCCUUAAUAUUAGUUGACCAUAUAUGUGGGGGUUUAAUUCUGAGGUCUCUACUCUGUUCCAUUCUGUGUAUCUAUUUUUAUACCAGUCCCAUACUGUUUUAAUUACUAUGGUCUGUGGUAUAGUUUGAAACCAGGAAGUAUGAUGCUUCCAGAUUUGCUCUUCUCAUAAUUUUGUUAUUUGGGAUCUUUUGUGGUUCCAUACAAAUAUUUAGGAUUUUUUUUCUAUUUCUGUGAAAAAUGUCAUUUGAAUAUUGAUAGGAAUAACAUUGAAUCUAUAGAUGGCUUGGGUAGAAAUGGACAUUUUAACAGUAUCAAUCCUUCCAAUUCAUAAGCAUAAGCUAUCUUUCCAUUUGUCUGCAUCGCCUUUGGUUUCUUUCAACAGUCUUGUAGUUUUCAUUGUACAGAUCUUUUACUUCAUUGAUGAAAUUUAUUCCUGGUAUUUUGAUGCUAUUGGGAAUGGGAUAGUUUUAUUUUUCAGAUGUUUCAUUGUUGGUGUACAGAAAUGCAGCUGACUUGUGUGUGAUGAUUUUGUAUCCUACUAAAUUCAUUGAUUACUUCUAACAGUUUUUUGGUUGAGAUUUUGAGAUUUUCCGAUAUGGUCAUUCUUUGGUAUCUGCAGGAGACUGAUUUCAAGAACCCCCACUGACACCCAUGGGUGCAGAGGGCUGACUGUAUCAUAUCAUCUCUUUGCAAAUGAAAAUUUUACUUCUUCCUUUCUGAUUUGGAUAGAUUUUCUUUCACUGUCUUGCCUAACUGCUCUAGUGAGGACUUAGAAUGCUAAUAUUGAAUAAGAAUGGUAAGAGUGGGCAUCCUUGUCUUAUUCCUGAUCUUAGAAGAAAAACUCAAUUUUUCACUGUUGAGCAUGUUUGCUGAGGGCUUGUCACAUCUGCCCUUUAUUUUGUUGAGGUAUAUUCCUUCCAUAUCCAAUCUGUUGUGGAAAAGAUGCUGCAUUUUGUUAUAUGUAUUUUGUGACAUUUCUUUCAUUCCAUUAAUGUGGUGUAUAACAUUUAUUGACUUGUGUAUGUUGAACCAUCCUUGUAUCCCAAGGAUAAAUACCGGCUAAAGCUUAUAUUUAGUUGCUCCUAUGUUGAAUGCACACAUCUUUAUGAUUGUUUUAUCUUGUUUACCAACCCUCUUUAUCAUUACAUAAUGACAGUCUUUGCUGCUUGUUAUUGUUUAUUGAGUUUCUUCAAGACAGCAAGUCUGAAUUUUUUAUCUGCUAAAUCACAGUAUCCUGUGGCUUUCAGCUCGGGUGUUGGGGAAUUAUUGAUAUCUUCUGGGGUAACAUAUUUUCUUGUUUUUUCAUGUUUCCUAUAUUUCUCCAUAGCUGUUUUUGCAUGUGACAUAGCAGACCCCUCCUAAAAUCUUGACUGGCUGCCCUCAGCUGGGAUGCGGAUCCCUGGUGUUGCCACAGGAAGGGUUUGCUCAGUUUUGAAUGGGUAGACCUGUUCCACUCGUCUUGUUCUGUCUUGGGGCAGAAUUCUCAACCUUUUAUGUUUCCUCUCCUUAGAACUCCCCAGGCUGGCUGCUGGAAACCUCUCUUUUGUUUUCCAGAAGAUGGUGGCAUAGCUCCAGUUGUAAUUCCUCCCUUACUCAUGGACCCUAGUCCAUUUUUCUGAGCUGCUCCAACCACUGGGCCUGCUCUCACUGCCACACUCGGGAGAUGCAGAAGGAUCCGGCCACGGAAUGGGAGCAGUCAUGGAGGUCCCACCCCAAAGCUCUGGGUGCUGCUGUGGGGGAAAGAGGUUCUGCCAGGAGGGACCCCAACAAUAGGAAUGGCCUGGCACUGACUCACUGCUUCCCACCUCCUCCAGGAGAAGAUGUCUGUGCAGCUCCUACUGGAUACAGAAGAUGCUGAUACACCAAAGAGGGAUCUUUCUCAAUAAGAUGGGUUUUCAGAGACUGAAUGAGAAGGAUGAAUGCAUCCCCUUCAAGUUUGUUGCUCAGCAACACCGGCAGAUCUUUCGGUUCCGUGAUGGAUAACAGAGGGAGAAACCUUUGGAGCUUCUUUCACAUGGUAGCCUCUUACUCUUGGUGGAAAGGUAACACGAUCGGUGGCUUGAUACUAGCAUUCAUGAACCCACGGGAAUUGUGAGCUGACGUUCUUCACUAAAGGCAAAGCAAAAAAAAGCUACCGUGCAAGACAUGUAGUUACCUAAAUUCAUUAAGGUAGGUAGGUUUGAUCCUGGGGUAAUCCCAGACCCCUGAUGAGGCCGGUCUUGUUUCAGGACACUAAACGUCUGAAUCAACAGGGAACAUGUCUAUGGGGGUGGUGUGAGGACCCCUCAAACUGAAUCAGCCCUGUGGGGUUCUCCAGGUCGACCUGCAAGCCAAGCUCUAUGGCCAUAGACUACCAGGGCCACCUGGAGUGGAAGCGAUAAAACCACAGGCCAGAUGUGGGGGGGAAGGGACCCAGGAAGAAAGGAUGCAGACAUCUCAACUUCCCUGGACCCAAGGGCUGCACCUGUGCAAUCUGUCUAGUUGGAGGAAACCCAAGAAAGCAAGCCAUACACUUAGCAAAGUGUUAGAACAGAGGCAGCCAAGUGCGAAGAGAGGGCGGGACAGCAGGAAGGGUGGGGAUGGCGUGGGGCAGAGGAGGGGCCGGGCUGCGGGUCAACACAGGUGGUCAGACCACCACCAGCCACCAGCACCCCGAGCCGGGACACUGUGGGAGAAAGGACAGCCGGGCCCCCCCCCCCCCGCCCUCAUUGAAGCAGAUGUCUCAUGAAGGGAAACAAUAAGAAAACAAAUAAAACGAAUAAAUAAAGCAAGCGUGACUUACUCUCAUUUAUGCAUUGAAGAAAAGCAAGGAUUGAGAUGACACCAAAGGGGGACGGUGUCUCCUUGGAGACAGAGAACACAAGAAAGAAAGGAAAGCCGGCCACGCGGGGUGGGGGGAUGGGGGGGUGCGGGUGUGUGUGUGGGGGGGCAACCUGCAGAGAGAAAAACACGUCUCUGGCAAAAAGGAGAACACUCUUAAGUUGCUAAUGACAGCUGUGGCGCAGGUGGCAGAUGUGGCUCGGAUCAGAUCCUUGGCGGGGGAACUUCUAUGUUCUGUGAGUUCGGCCAUAAAAGGAAAAAAAAAAGUUGCUAAUGACCUAAGGGAAGAAAAUAAAGUAUCAUCGUAUGUGUUUGUGAUGAUAACAUUUGCUAUCAAAAGAUAUACUUAAACAACAAUAACCAUCACUUUAAGGAGCUAUUUAUUACUCUUUUUGAUCUUUUGGCCUGGUAGCACCCCCAGUCGGCUGUAAAUUCCCCAGGUGGGCACCAGGUCCACCAGCUCUGUGCUCCCAAAGCUUAGCCUUUGAGUGGUCCUCUCGCAAUGAAACACAUUGUAAGUAAAAGCAAAAUGUUCAGUUAUCAGUUAUCUUUUCUUGUGAAGAACAGGAAAAGAUAACUGAUUAAGGAAAGCUGGCACACAGGGGAGAAAAGAAUUACAGCCGGCUUGAAAACAAAAAAAUACGUGACGGGAGUUCCCAUCAUGGCCCAGCAGAAACGAAUCCGACUAGGAACCAUGAGGUUUCGGGUUCGAUCCCUGGC
This is a non-coding RNA of Sus scrofa (pig), 3748 nucleotides long. The record is from RefSeq and is a predicted model, not a curated record. Lineage: Eukaryota; Metazoa; Chordata; Mammalia; Artiodactyla; Suidae.